UGGUGGAGUGAUUUGUCCGGUUAAUUCCGUUAACGAACGAGACCUUAACCUGCUAAAUAGUCGCAGUAACCACGGUUGCUGAUUGACUUCUUAGAGGGACUUUGCGCGUCUAGCGCAAGGAAGUUUGAGGCAAUAACA
Molecule: ribosomal RNA, 138 nt
Filed under: uncultured eukaryote
Lineage: Eukaryota
Description: partial 18S ribosomal RNA
Rfam family: Eukaryotic small subunit ribosomal RNA
Source: RNAcentral